Molecule: ribosomal RNA, 497 nt
Filed under: uncultured bacterium
Lineage: Bacteria
Description: partial 16S ribosomal RNA
Rfam family: Bacterial small subunit ribosomal RNA
Source: RNAcentral
GACGAACGCUGGCGGCGUGCCUAAUACAUGCAAGUUGAGCGCUGAAGGUUGGUACUUGUACCAACUGGAUGAGCAGCGAACGGGUGAGUAACGCGUGGGGAAUCUGCCUUUGAGCGGGGGACAACAUUUGGAAACGAAUGCUAAUACCGCAUAAAAACUUUAAACACAAGUUUUAAGUUUGAAAGAUGCAAUUGCAUCACUCAAAGAUGAUCCCGCGUUGUAUUAGCUAGUUGGUGAGGUAAAGGCUCACCAAGGCGAUGAUACAUAGCCGACCUGAGAGGGUGAUCGGCCACAUUGGGACUGAGACACGGCCCAAACUCCUACGGGAGGCAGCAGUAAGGAAUCUUCGGCAAUGGACGAAAGUCAGACCGAGCAACGCCGCGUGAGUGAAGAAGGUUUUCGGAUCGUAAAACUCUGUUGGUAGAGAAGAACGUUGGUGAGAGUGGAAAGCUCAUCAAGUGACGGUAACUACACAGAAAGGGACGGCUAACUACGUG